UAAAGAAAGUCAUCUAAAUGACCCUGCACAUUGAAUCAUGGGGUAUAAUACAAGUAGUUUUAUUUUGAUGCAACGUACAUUUGAGUUGGUUGAACCAAGACAUUUUUUUUUAUCUUAGACAAUGACUCCUUUGGCAUUUACAAUGAUAAAGACUAUGUCCUCAAAAUAUCCUUGUCCCUUUCUAAAAGAUUAACAAUAAAAUCCCCCCUCAUCCCUCUUCACAAUUCCUUCAUCUUUUCAAUUUCCACAAAACUCUCUCACAAAUAAUAAAUAACACACAUUUAUAGCCACAAUCAUUCACCAUACCCACUAUAUUGAUCUCAAUGUUCUUCAUUCCAUUGUCAAUGUGGUUUUUUCAUGGUGUGGUUCAACAUUGAAGAUGAUGAUGGUAAAAGAGAGCACUAGUACUAGUAGUGGAUGCAUGAUUAGGUACUCUUUCUUGAUUUUGGUUCUUCUGGCUUUGUCAAUUCUACUUUUACCUUUGGUGAUGCCUCCUCUACCACCACCACCUUUGAUGUUUCUCUUUGUUCCUGUUUUUAUAUUGUUGCUUUUAUUUUUCUUGGCAUUUUCACCUUCUACCGUUCCAAAUAUGGCUUCUUUUGUAUCUUGAUCACUUGUAACAAUUAACUAAUUAAGCAUAUAGCUAGCAUUUUCAAAUCUAUACUGUUAUGCACUUGUAAUUAAGUUUGAGGAAGAUUAAUUUGUGUGGAAUAUGAUUUUCUUAAGUAUCAUCUUGAAGAACUUAAUUAUGAGGUAGUAUUCAAUUUUGUACUUGUUAAGGUUUUCCUAGUCAAUAAUUAUAUACCCUUUUGGUUAUAUUAUAUGAGUAUACUCUUUUGGUUCUUUUCUAUGAUACAAUGUUAACCAGAAAAAAUGUUAAUCUUAUGAAACAGAAUAAUUAACCAAAUGGAGUGUUUAAUGGGAACAAAUUGGAAUCAAUAUUGAAAUUUAUGGUUUUCAUAAUAGAAUAAGAUAGUUUGUAUUUGAAGACAUACAAGACAAUGUAGGAUACAAAUGAGUUGCGGAUUAAACCACUCUUUUUAAGACAUUUCGCAUAACUGUCUAAAAUUGUGCAAGACAGAUUAUCAAUCACGAAGUUCCUCUAAUAAAAUAACUCACUUACACUAUAUUUGUUUUACUUCUGCACUGCACUCCAAUGCACUGCAUUGUUGAAAAUUGUUCUAGAAUUACACAAUUUAAAUAUGACGGUUAUAACUACAAGAACUAUGAUAUUAUGAGCACUCAGAAAUCUGAAAGGACAAAUCAUUUUAGGUAAAGAGACAGAAAUAAAAUUUAGGACGAAGUUGAACAAGAAUAAGUUGGUAUAUUUACUAAACUGAACAUAGUCAUCUAUUUAUUAAAGAGUUUUGCAACUAACUGGAGCACAAAACGCGGCCCUUUUGAUCGGAUUUGCGAAACUAUUGUGCAUCCAAUUUAAUCUGAUCAUCAAAACGAUCACGUAAAAAUGAGAAGAGUUGAACAGAUCAGUUGUUGACUGUUGGACUCGGUGGAUGGCACAGAAUCUAUGUGUAAAACAGGUCAAAAAAUCACAAAGGGAAAAACCCUUGAGCAAAUAGUCCACAAUAUUUGUGAACCCAUCUUUCCUCUUCAAUUUGUGGUGUUGGUCCUGUAUCUUAAUAUGAGCAUAGUGCGUUGUCGAUUUGCAGACGUUAGCUCCGCCGUUAAACUAAAAAAAAGAAAGGGUAUUUAGCAGAUAUUAGAGACCUUAUUUUUACGCGUUUAAGGAGUUGAGGCAUUGGGCGUCCAACUUUUGAAAUUUAAAUUGAUAAACUCUGUACCAUAUAAGAUUUGUUUAUAUUAUAAAACCUUACUUCUAAAUAAUAUCUCAUUUUAUAAUCUAUUUGGAACAUGCGUUUUCCGUAUAACUUUUAUUUUCCCUGCAAAAUUAAACAGAAUAUUUUAAAGCUAGUCCAUACUCCAUACUAGACGGUCUUGAAAUGUGUGGAUUAUUUGCACUGUUUUCUGUGUGGGAUGAAUGGGAGGGACCAAAUAAGGAAAAAUGUACGGACAAUUAUAAUCAGCCCAGCACUUCCCAACUUGCCCAAAUAUACAUCAAUUUAGUAAUCACCUGUGUAAUUCAAAUACAACUUUUAUAUAUAUAAUAUAAAUUGUAAUGUUUUUUAUUUUUUAAGAUUAAAAAAAAUUAUACAGAUUUUUUUCAUUAAUUAUUUUAAACAUAUAUUUCAAUAAUCACUAAAAUAAUUGAUAUUACAUGAUAUUAACUAUCUUAGAAUAUUUAUUUUAUCUUUAAAUUUUAAUACUUUAAAGUAGUUAACGUCUUACAUUUUAAUGAUUAAUUACUUAUAUUUUAGUGAUUAAUAAAAUAUUUAAAGUGAUUAAAGAUAUAAAUAAUUUUUUAAAAAUAUUUUCUUUAAAUAAAAAAAAAUACAAUUCACAAUAUAAAUAUGGUGAACAGUACCUAUAGAGUAUUAUGUCAAUUUUUUAUUUCAAUAAUAUCAUUUUUUGUUAAGUAAGUAUUUGAGUAGGUUGACAAGUUAUUAUGCAAUUCAUCGGAGGCGUUUUGAUUAAAAAUCACAUUACAAUUUUUAAUGCAUUUUUUUUUAUCUUACUCUUUAAUUAAUUCUAUUUACAUUAUUUUCAAUACAAUAUUUUUUAUUAUGCAUUUAUAACAUUGAUAAUACAUUAAUAACUAAUAAAAAUAAUUUAUUAAAAAUAAUAUAUUAUUUAUAUAUUUUUCUUAAUAUAUGUAAAACAGCUAAAUGGCUUAAUUAUUUGAAAUGGGAAAAGUAAAUUAGCAUAAUGCAUUGUAUUUGUAUAAUAAAAUAAUAAUUUUGUAUAAUAAAGUCAUGAUUGGUUGAAAGAAGCUAGCAUCGUACCCUUCCAUUCACCAUUUUCACAAAGGCACUCUAUUGAUCCUAUUUAAAUCAUAUACCAACCUUUAGCACUAUAUACAACAUCAACAUCAUUAAAUAUCAUUAAGAAUGUAGUAUUGGGAAGACUUGUUGUCAAGUGUGAAGCUUAGUUAUGAUAGGGAAAAACUACGGUCAUCGAUCCCAAAUAAUUUAAUAUGUAUAAUAAUUUGCAUAAUUACAUGUAUGCAUAAUUUAUUUAAAUACGUAUUGUUGAAAUAUAAUAAUAUAGAGUUAUUGAUAGUCUCAUUAUUUUAUUUUUAGGUAUUGGAUUGAAGAUAACGGCGCUUAUUGAAUUCACACUAUGAUUAAAAAGUUAUAAAAUAAAUUAUACCUACAUGUAAAACUCAUUUAAACAUCCAAUAUUACUUAUUAUUUUGUGAAUAUUUAC
This 3282-nucleotide long non-coding RNA is filed under the name Cicer arietinum (chickpea). Its description in RNAcentral is "long non-coding RNA (CARI_LNC000802)". The record is from RNAcentral. Lineage: Eukaryota; Viridiplantae; Streptophyta; Magnoliopsida; Fabales; Fabaceae.